Molecule: ribosomal RNA, 2041 nt
Filed under: Glaesserella parasuis 29755
Lineage: Bacteria; Pseudomonadati; Pseudomonadota; Gammaproteobacteria; Pasteurellales; Pasteurellaceae
Description: partial 23S ribosomal RNA
Source: RNAcentral
GAUAGCACCCAAGUCGGCGGUGUUUACGGUUUAGAGGAAGAAGGCGAAGAUAUUCUCGUCCACGUUGUGAGCCGUGAGCAAGCGUAUCAGUGGGUUGUUGAAGGCAAAAUUGAUAAUGUGAUUGCUGUUGUUGGAUUACAGUGGUUACAGUUGAAUUAUCAAAGGUAUAAAGAGCCACAUAGCCUUUCAGUACAACUGUAAUUUGAUUUCUAACCGUAUGGAUACAAUAAAUAUUCAAAGGGUAUAGUAGACAAAGUGGCUGCUAAUGAAUAUUUUUCAUUAAAGAGUGCAGAUAAUAUAGUAAAUUAAACCGUAAAAAGUGAUAUAGCCCACCAAUAAUCCUAUCUUUGCUACUAGCGGUUGCUUUUGAUGUAAUUUAUGCAGCAAGCCAGCAAUAGCCAAUAAAAUGAAAGGAUAAAUCCAAAAUGCGGUAGAAAACCAAUCAAUUUGACUUGGGCUAAGGUUAGGAUUUUCGCUUAAUGCAGGUGAUACAAGCAAUGCUAAUGGCCAUAAUGAACUGGGCAAACAAAAAAAUGCCAAUGCCCAACUAAAUUUUGAAAAACCUUGUUGCAUAUUAUCCUCUUGGGUGAAACUGUUGAUGCAGUGAUUUUAAACGAGUUUUCGCCACUUGGGUAUAAAUUUGUGUCGUAGACAGAUCACUAUGUCCAAGUAACAUCUGCACAACCCGUAAAUCUGCACCGUGAUUAACUAAAUGUGUUGCAAACGCGUGGCGUAAAACGUGUGGAGAGAGUUUAUUACUAUCAAUACCCGCCAACAACGCAUAAUGCUUAAUUCGAUGCCAAAAAGUUUGACGGGUCAUUUGAUUGCCUAAACGGCUAGGAAAAACCACAUCUGACUGCAUACCAUUAAGCAGUGAACUUCGCCCAUACUCAAAAAACUGUUGGAUCCAAUAACUCGCUUCUUCUCCUAAAGGCACUAAACGCUCUUUAUCACCUUUACCAAUGAUACGAACUAACCCUUGACGCAGGCUUAAGUUAUCCAGUGUUAGAGAAACGAGUUCUGUGACACGUAAACCUGUGGCAUAAAGUAGUUCUAACAUUGCUUUAUCACGCAAUUCUAAAGGAUCCUGAGUAUCUGGAAUAUUCAGUAAAUCCAGUACCUGCUCUUCACUCAAUGAUUUAGGUAAAUGGGCUGGUUUACGCGGAGAUGUAAGUGUUGCUGUUGGAUCAUCAUCUCGAUACUUUUCCAAAUAAAGGAAACGAAAAAACUUGCGCAAACAGCUCAACAUACGAGAUGAACUCGUUGCUUUAUAGCCUUGCUCCAGUCUUUCGCCCAAAAAGGUUUGUAGAUCAACAUAGUCUACUUUUAAAAAUGCAUUGGGUUCAGAAAGCCAUUGGGUAAAACUUUCUAAAUCUAGUCUAUAAGAGGCUACAGUAUUUUCUGAUAAUCCCUGCUCUUGCCAUAGAGUAUCAAGAAAUUGUUCAAUAAUAGGAUCAAGUGGUUUCAUAAUAACGAUAAAAUUAUCGUAAAAAUCUGCAAAAUUCUAACAUAAAAAUACCUUGGAAGGUCGACUGAAAUGAAAAAACCGAUUAGCAAAACUAAUCGGUUUAUUUGAAACAUGGCAGGGGCGGAGAGGCUCGAACUCCCAACACCCGGUUUUGGAGACCGGUGCUCUACCAAUUGAACUACGCCCCUAUAUAAUUAUUUACAUAUAGUUAAAGCGAGUAAUUUACUCGCUUAUAAAUAAGUGGCGGAACGGACGGGACUCGAACCCGCGACCCCCUGCGUGACAGGCAGGUAUUCUAACCAGCUGAACUACCGCUCCGCAAAUUGGGUACUUGGCAAUGCCCUACUCUCACAUGGGGAAUCCCCACACUACCAUCGGCGUAACUGCGUUUCACUUCUGAGUUCGGUAUGGAGUCAGGUGGGACCACAGCACUAUUGUUGCCAAGAAAUUCUUUUAUUAAGUUAGUUCACUAAUUUAAUGAACUAAGUUAAUAACCCCCCGACGAUGCUCUACUCUCACAUGGGGAAUCCCCACACUACCAUCGGCGUAACUGCGUUUCACUUCUGAGUUCGG